UGGCUUAUGGUGCAGUGGUAGCAUUCUUGCUUUGCAUUUUUCCGAUGCCUGUGAGCGGUCCCGGGUUCAAACCCCUGUGGGUCCA
Non-coding RNA from Mycena metata, 85 nucleotides. The record is from the annotation of a GenBank genome assembly. Lineage: Eukaryota; Fungi; Basidiomycota; Agaricomycetes; Agaricales; Mycenaceae.